GUUUCUCUGUGCUCCGGUGACGGCGCUGCCGCCCACGGCGGUAACCUGCCUUGGGUUAGCUGAUUUCGGCUGUUUUCGGUCGAAUUCAGCCGAACUUACAUUGGUUCCUGCGAGAAAACACACUUAGGGCCAUCGGUGGGCCAAAAAAACGUAGAAAACCAAAACUCACCGGCGGUGUGGCUCUCCGGUGAGUUGGGUGUUUUGCUUCGAUCAACCUCGUUUGGCGGUCAAAAAUCACUCCGAUGCGGCGGCAGGUGGUGGCGGUUGGCUCCCCGGUGACUGGGUUGUCUUCUCCGGUGAGGGGCUCUGGCAACUAGGGUUAGGGUUUGGGUGCUGAUGGAGUUAUUUAUACCCAUCUACUUUUGAUCUGGGCCGUCCAUCGCUUUUAAUCUGGAUCGUCUGAUCGCGAUUAAAUAGGGAGUGAAUCUGAGCCGUUCAUCGCGAUUUAAUU
Molecule: long non-coding RNA, 451 nt
Filed under: Carica papaya (papaya)
Lineage: Eukaryota; Viridiplantae; Streptophyta; Magnoliopsida; Brassicales; Caricaceae
Description: long non-coding RNA (CPAP_LNC008577)
Source: RNAcentral